Molecule: non-coding RNA, 92 nt
Organism: Xylaria longipes
Lineage: Eukaryota; Fungi; Ascomycota; Sordariomycetes; Xylariales; Xylariaceae
Source: the annotation of a GenBank genome assembly
GGCUCCUUGGUCUAGAGGUAUGAUUCUCGCUUUGGGUCUAAUCAAAAUCCAGAAUCUGCGAGAGGCCCCGGGUUCGAAUCCCGGAGGAGCCC